Molecule: non-coding RNA, 29 nt
Filed under: Mus musculus (house mouse)
Lineage: Eukaryota; Metazoa; Chordata; Mammalia; Rodentia; Muridae
Source: RNAcentral
UGGAGUUACAGAUCGUUGUGAGCUGGCAU